RNAcentral lists this ribosomal RNA (468 nucleotides) under uncultured bacterium. RNAcentral's name for it is "partial 16S ribosomal RNA". It matches the Rfam family "Bacterial small subunit ribosomal RNA", at positions 28 to 507 of the family's 1533-position model. The record is from RNAcentral.
GACGAACGCUGGCGGCGUGCUUAACACAUGCAAGUCGAACGGAAAGGCCCUGCUUUUGUGGGUUGCUCGAUUGGCGAACAGGUGAGUAACACGUGAGUAACCUGCCCUUGACUUUGGGAUAACUUCAGGAAACUGGGGCUCAUAUCGGAUAUGAUCUCCUGCUGCAUGGUGGUGGUUGGAAAGAUUCGGCGGUUGGGGAUGGACUCGCGGCUUAUCAGCUUGUUGGGGGGGUAGUGCCGUCCCAAGGCUUUGACGGGUAGCCGGCCUGAGAGGGUGGCCGGCCACAUUGGGACUGCGAUACGGCCCAGACUCCUACGGGAGGCAGCAGUCGAGAAUAUUACACAAUGGGCGGAAGCCUGAUGCAGCAACGCCGCGUGCGUGAUAACGGCCUUCGGGUUAUAAACCGCUUUCGAAUGUGACGAAGCGUGAGUGACGGUAAUGGGUAAAAAAGCAACGGCUAACUACGUG